AUUUAUGUACGUAAAGAAAUGCAUUUUAUUUACUUCAUAGUUAGUAUAUGAAACAUUGAUACUGUUAAGUUGUCUUCACACAGGUAUAGCUUUGCGAGACUGCAGUUUAUAUCUCGCAUGCACAACAAACGUAAAUGAGGGUCGUGAUUAGAGCUAAAAGAAGAAAAAAAGAAAAUAAUUUACUCCCAAAAAAUUAGAUAAAAAGGGUCUAAUAUAUAUACAGAAUAGAAAAUAAUCAUGACAAUGGGCAUAAAAUAUAAAAGAAAUAGAGAAAUAUGAUCUAAAUUAUCAUAGAAUACAGAUAUGAAAGACCCCAUCUAGACCCUAGUAAAUGCUGUAAGAUGUGUCGAUUAUUUCGCAUUUACGGAAAAAAUAAAUCCAUAUAUUGUAUAGUACGUUUUGCA
This 404-nucleotide long non-coding RNA is filed under the name Mytilus galloprovincialis (Mediterranean mussel). The record is from RNAcentral. Lineage: Eukaryota; Metazoa; Mollusca; Bivalvia; Mytilida; Mytilidae.